Molecule: ribosomal RNA, 302 nt
Filed under: uncultured bacterium
Lineage: Bacteria
Description: partial 16S ribosomal RNA
Rfam family: Bacterial small subunit ribosomal RNA
Source: RNAcentral
GCAGCAGCCGCGGGAAUACGGAGGGUGCAAGCGUUAAUCGGAAUUACUGGGCGUAAAGCGCACGCAGGCGGUUUGUUAAGUCAGAUGUGAAAUCCCCGGGCUCAACCUGGGAACUGCAUUUGAAACUGGCAAGCUAGAGUCUCGUAGAGGGGGGUAGAAUUCCAGGUGUAGCGGUGAAAUGCGUAGAGAUCUGGAGGAAUACCGGUGGCGAAGGCGGCCCCCUGGACGAAGACUGACGCUCAGGUGCGAAAGCGUGGGGAGCAAACAGGAUUAGAUACCCCGGUAGUCCCUGUCUCUUAUAC